RNAcentral lists this transfer RNA (72 nucleotides) under Bos taurus (domestic cattle). It matches the Rfam family "tRNA". From Rfam's summary of the family: Transfer RNA (tRNA) molecules are approximately 80 nucleotides in length. The record is from Rfam by way of RNAcentral. RNAcentral also lists the same sequence under 1 other name. Lineage: Eukaryota; Metazoa; Chordata; Mammalia; Artiodactyla; Bovidae.
UCCCUGGUGGUUCAGUGGCUAAGAUGCUACACUCCCAAUGCUGGAGGCUGGGUUCAAUCCCUGGUCAGGGAA